RNAcentral lists this long non-coding RNA (21399 nucleotides) under Selaginella moellendorffii. RNAcentral describes it as "long non-coding RNA (SMOE_LNC002126)". The record is from RNAcentral. Lineage: Eukaryota; Viridiplantae; Streptophyta; Lycopodiopsida; Selaginellales; Selaginellaceae.
GAUUGAAGGACUUUCUUCGUUGGUAGUAAAUGAUACUAGCCAUUCUUGUCAACCGUUUCAAAGCAUCGUGCCACACAAAACCGCAACCUUUCUCGGCGACGAGGACGUGUAGCUGGACGCAUUCUUGUCGUCCAUUAGAAUUCGCGAGCAACGUAGCCAUGGACAGCACUCGAACUGCAUGCCUGUGGAGAUCUCUCGGCGAACAUGUUGAGGUGAGGAGCGUAAGUUCUUGAAACACUGGGGCAGGACCUCUGUAAAUCGCCAGGACGUCACGGCGGUGAUCUCUGUUUGGUGUUGCUACAAUUUGUUAUCCGAGAACGACGACGGUGCGAGCAAGUGUGGCUUCCCUUUGAGCAGAGGCAUGAAGAGAUUGAACUUGCGUCUCGGUGGAGCUGGACGUGAUCUUGUGAUACAAUCUCAAUGCCGUUAUUUUGUUCCUUCGUUGGAAGUGGAAUUUUUUAAAAAUGCUUGGCCUUUUUUUAUUCUUUUUCAGCUCCGAAGUCAAGAAGAAAACCUAUUGCUCUUCCUAUCUAUAUGAUUGUGUGACUUCUCGUGGACUCGAUGGUGUAUCUGGGGAAGAUUAAGGAGCUUCUACUUCCUGAAGUUUUAUAUUAGCAAAAAUACCGCUCGGGAUUUAGUGUUCCAAACCCAGUUUGAAUAUCUAAGUUUUAUCGAGAGAUUCUAUACAUCAAUAUAAACAUUUUGGUUUAAAGAACCUUUUAUUCAUCUUUUGAUUUGUUUUUGUCGAAUCCUUAAAAAUACUAUAGGGAUAAGAACCUACUUACUUGCUAUUUAUUAAUCACAAGAAAGAAGUCGAAAUCAAGCAUACUGAAUGGAAGCCCCCUUCAAUGUGAAGGUACCCUGUCCCCUCGGCACCAGCGUCACAACGAGCUUGUCCGCUGACUUUAGGCCCAGGAUCUCGACAUUAGCCUUGAUAGAGAAGGUGGUGUUCACGGUCUCGGUGUGCUCACCGAUCCCGAGCAUGAAGUGGGGGACGUUGGAAUAAGUGCCCACGUACUCGGCACAGCUGACGCGCGUGUUCUUGUUGGCCUCGGGCAGGUUGAUGAACGCGUUGAAGCUGAUGGGGGAUUGCAUGUUAAUCUCCAUGCCCUCCAGCACCAGGAUCUCGUCACAAGCGCUGCCUUUGGGCUGAUCCACCGUGAUCGUCACCGGCUCCACCCCAACUUCCAAGGCCUUGGGGUUCUCAGCUGAUGCUUUCACCAGCCGAUACUCAUACGACGAUCCACUCCAGGGCGUCUGUUUCAGUGGCUUGGGCUCGUAGGCGGUCCAGCUCUUGUCGUCAGGCAUCGCCUGGUACUUGUACUUGAGCAUCUUCUCGCUGUUGAGGGAAUCUUUCACCUUGACGCGAACGAGAUCUUGGUUCUCGUCAAAGAAGAGGAACUCGGUGUUGAGGUAGUCCGAGUCUGUGAAGUCCUUGUUUCCCAGAGACCUCCACACGUCCCACAUCCGAUCGACGUUACCGUGGUGGCUGUAGAAGAGAGGGUCUCUACCGGCCGAGUAGAAGUUGCCCAUGUCCUCGAAAUUCGGCUGGUAGGGGCUGCCGCCAAAUAUGUGCACAGCAUUAUGUGGCGCCCUCUCCACGCCCCCUGGGCCAUUCUUGCUGCCGCUGCCUUUCCUGCAAGUAUAUAUGGCUGCAAGUAUAUAUGGAAGCGCAUGGGAAUGGACGUACCUGAUGGGGUGGCCAAAGAACGCGUCCGGCUGCUUCACCUUUGCGACGUUGUUGUACAUGAUUGAGAGGUUGUCCUCGCGGAUCUGCUCGUCGCUCUUGUCAUCAGAGCCGGGCGAGUAGAUGAGGUCCACCCGUGUGGGCUCAUAGUGACUCGUGUUGCGCUUUGCGUCGCAGAGGGCGGUCUCGCGGCGAAACAUGUCUGGGAUGUACCUCCCGCCUUCCUGGUCCCAGCUCCAGAAUGGGAGAGCAAAACUAGGAUCCCCGAUCAGGCUCCCCAAGAUCUUCUCGUGGAAGUAGAGAUACCAGCGAUGCCACGGCAGGAAGAGCCAGUUGAAGUGGAUCUGGAGCGUCUGCUUUGGGGCGCCCUCCUGGCGGUAGCCAUAGCUGCAGUAGGCGCAGUGGACGUUGGCCUGCUGACGUAAGCUGCGCGGGUCGUCCGGGGCGAGGGCGCGCAUCUUGGCGUAGGCCUCGUUGUACUUGGCGAUGUAGUCCUUGUCGACGAGGUGGGCGGCGGGGCGGACGCGCAUCUGGCCUGAGUCGGGCUUGAAAUCGAUGGUGGCGCGCUUGGGCUUUGGGGGGCAGCACACCCGGAUGAUGUCGUCGCCGACGCUGGGGAAGUGGCAGUGCUUGAACGAGGGCAGUCCUAUCGGAUCCGCCAGCGCGUGGCUGUCCACUGAUGAGGCGAGAGACGCACCACCGGCAAUGGCCCCGGCCAGGAGCUCGCGGCGAUCGAUCGAGGGCGUCACAGGGGAGGAGUUAGAGUUACACGCAUUGGCUUCUUUCCUGGCGUUGGCGGCGAUCUUGAGCGGACGCGUGCGGGACGGGCGCUGGAGCUCGAGGCGAUCGAUCGACAGUGCCACCAUCCCAGACAUGCUCGGUAGCGAAUACAUUGUCAAAGGAGGCAGCUAUACAACACAUAGCAGUUGAUACUGGCGUUUAUAGGGGCGCUAUUGCAUGGCUCUCGUGUCUAAUGUGAACACUUCCGGAUUUUUAUGCUGAUUGAAUUUAAUAAACCAAUUAUUAAGUAUCAUUGUUAGUCAAGUGGGACACUACAAGUGUCCAACUUGAUUAACAUCACUUAGUCACUUAAAAUGAUAUUUGAUAAUGGCUGCUGGCACUGAGGAAUUUGUCAAUGGAGGAUUUCUUCUAUCACAUAUGAGGGUCCCUUCGAUCCUUUGUUUCUUGUGCAUUGACGGUUGGGAUGGAAGGCUUUAGGAUUGCUGGCCCAAGACGCUCCAGAAUUUGGAGAUGCACGUUUUUCUCGAGAGCUGGAGGAGACCUCAAAGUCCAAUAUCUAAGUUUUAUCGAGAGAAUCUAUAAAUCAAUAUAAACAUUUUGGUUCAAAGAACCUUUUGUUCAUCUUUUGAUUUGUUUUUGUGGAACCGUUAAAAAUACUAUAGGAACUUUCAGAAGAACCUACGCAGCAACUUGCUAUUUAUUAAUCACAAGAAAGAAGUCGAAAUCAAGCAUACUGAAUGGAAGCCCCCCUGAAUGUCAAGCUACCGUCUCCCCUCGGCACCAGCGUCACAACGAGCUUGUCCGCUGACUUUAGGCCCAAGAUCUCGACAUUAGCCUUGAUAGAGAAGGUGGCGUUCACGAUCUCGGUGUGCCCCUUACCGAUGUCGGACAUGAAGUGGGGAACGUUGGAAUAAGUGCCCACGUACUCGGCACAGCUGACGCGCGUGUUCUUGUUGGCCUCGGGCAGGUUGAUGAACGCGUUGAAGCUGAUGGCGGAUCGCAUGUCAAUCUCCAUGUCCUCCAGCACCAGGAUCUCGUCACAAGCGCUGCCUUUGGGCUGAUCCACCGUGAUCGUCACCGGCUCCGCUUCAACUUUCAAGGCCUCAGGGUUCUCAGCUGAUGCUUUCACCAGCCGAUACUCAUACGACGAUCCACUCCAGGGCGUCUGUUUCAGUGGCUUGGGCUCGUAGGCGGUCCAGCUCUUGUCGUCAGGCAUCGCCUGGUACUUGUACUUGAGCAUCUUCUCGUUGUUGAGGGAAUCUUUCACCUUGACGCGAACGAGAUCUUGGUUCUCGUCAAAGAAGAGGAACUUGGUGUUGAGGUAGUCCGGGUCUGUGAAGUCCUUGUUUCCCAGAGACCUCCACACGUCCCACAUCCGAUCGACGUUACCGUGGUGGCAGUAGAAGAGAGGGUCUCUACCGGCCGAGUAGAAGUUGCCCAUGUCCUCGUUAUUGUGCUCGUCGGGGCUGCCGCAAAAUAUGUGCACAGCAUUAUGUGGCGCCCUCUCCACGCCCCCUGGGCCAUUUAUGCUGCUGCUGCCUUUCCUGCAAAGUAUAUAUGGCUGCUAAAAUGGAGCGCAUGCAUGGGAAUGCACGUACCUGAGGGGGUAGCCAAAGAACGCGUCCGGCUGCUUCACCUUUGCGACGUUGUUGUACAUGACUGAGAGUUUGUCCUCGCGGAUCUGCUCGUCGCUCUUCUUAUCAGAGCCGAGCGAGUAGAUGAGAUCCACCCGUGUGGGCUCAUAGUGACUCGUGUUGCGCUUUGCGUCGUAGAGGGCGGUCUCGCGGCGAAACAUGUCUGGGAUGUACCUCCCGCCCUCCUGGUCCCAGCUCCAGAAUGGGAGCGCAAAACCAGGAUCCCCGAAGUAGAGAUACCAGCGGUGCCACGGCAGGAAGAGCCAGUUGAAGUGGAUCUGGAGCGUCUGCUUUGGGGCGCCCUCCUGGCGGUAGCCAUAGUUGCAGUAGGCGCAGUGGACUUUGGCCUGAUGACGUAAGCUGCGCGGGUCGCCCCGGCUGAGGGCGCGCAUCUUGGCGUAGGCCUCGUUGUACUUGGCGAUGUAGUCCUUGUCGACGAGGUGGGCAGCGGGGCGGACGCGCAUCGGGCCUGAGUCGGGCUUGAAGUCGAUGGUGGCGCGCUUGGGCUGUGGGGGGCAGCACCGCCGGUUGAUGUCGUCGCUGAUGGUGGCGCGGUGGCAGUGCUUGAACGAGGGCAGUCCGAUCGGAUCCGCCAGCGCGUGGCUGUCCACUGAUGAGGCGAGAGACGCACCACCGGCAAUGGCCCCGGCCAGGAGCUCGCGGCGAUCGAUCGAGGGCGUCACAGGGGAGGAGUUAGAGUUACAUGCAUUGGCUUCUUUCCUGGCGUUGGCGGCGAUCUUGAGCAGACGCGUGCGGGACGGGCGCUGGAGCUCGAGGCGAUCGAUAGACAGUGCCACCAUCCCAGACAUGCUCGGUAGCGAAUACAUUGUCAAAGGGGGCAGCUAUACAACACACAGCAGUUGAUACUUGCUUUUAAAGGGGCGCUCUUGCAUGGCUCUCGUGUCUAAUGUGGACGUUGCAACUCAUACCCAAGCUUGGAUGACUUUGCUGGCUCCGCAGCAUUACUAUGGACCUGAUCGAUUCAUUCAUCCGGUUUAGGAAAGUUGCAUGGAACCUUCUUGCUUCAAUGGCGUGCACGUCUUCGGCCCGCCACCUUCUUCCGGUGUCCAUCUUAUGUGAUCUGGUUCUCAGUUGUCAGUCACACGUACGGCAUUGGAAGCAUGAAACGCCAACGUUUAUGAGAAAUAUGAGAAUUCGAAUUGCUGCAAAAGAACAUGUAAAGUUUGAUCUUUUAGGCAUUGCUUCAAGAGACAAAACAAACAAUCCCCCUUGCUUAUACUAAAACAAUAUGAAAUUUUUUAAAGCCUGAUUUUAGGGUUUUUGAGCUUAUGGAGUGGGAGGAAGAGAGGAUAGUGCAUUUCUGCGUCGCCACGAGCGCCUGUGGAGAGCGCACGUCGUGGAAUUCUUCCAGGUAUGGCGCAUUGCGCGACUUUCCCAUUUGCGAGCUUAGAAAUUUAUGCCAAUGCAGGGGCGUUUGUGGGAGAUUCUGGACACGCAAUGGCUCCUGGCGCUGAGGAGUGCGUCGAUGGAGGAUCUUCUUCUCCUUCCAUCGCAUAUUUCCAAGGUGAGAGAGAGAGACUCUCGAUUCUUUGUUUCUCGCGCAUUAAUGGAUGGCAAGGAAUUGUGGCUUUAGGAUUGCUGGCCCAAGACGCUCCAGGAUUUUCUUGCAGACGUGCGCUCGCUCUCUCUUUCUCGAGAGCUGAUGGAGACCUCAAAGGUAUUUCCCUUCACAAAACCUUGUCAUUCACAACGUUUCUUAGCUUCUCUCAGGCGGAUCGCUUCCAAGUGUUAUAACGCAGGGCGUGAACGCCAAAAAACUCCACGAGGUAUGUCACUCCUCUCCAUCGAUCGUCUUUGAGAAGACUCGCGUUUAGAUUCUUUCCAGAUUGAAAGACUUUCUUCGUUGAUAGUAAACAUCUCUCGCGUUGUCAACGCUACAGAAAUCGUGGACGUCGGUGCUGACCAGGUAAACAUCCAUCAUUCUCCGGUGUAUCAUUCACGGGCAUUUUGUUUCUUCCUAGGGGUAUCUUGCGCAAGUCUUGGCGUUCCACCACAAACUUCCAGUAGUCGCAGUAGAUUGCUCGGUGCACAAACACAACCGUGACAAACAAACGCGCUGACUGGAUCCAAAGAUACUACGCUUCUCGCUCCGGUAAGCUUGAGUUGGUGCCAUUCUUGUCAACCGGUUUUUCUUAUCUAGACAUGAGUACUUGCCCAGCAAAUGCUGGGUGGUUUACAAAGAGGUUCAAUAUAAAACCUUUUUAUAGAUAGUGUUAAUUGUAAAAACAGAAGGAUUUUGAGGAAGGAGGUGGCUUUGGCAUGUGGUGUUUUGAAUUUUAAUUCCAAGUCCAUGUGGUGAUGUGCAUUUUGAUAAAGCCACAUAAAGUUGCCCAUGAGUGAAAACUGAGUGGGGCAAGUAAACUUUAACUCGGUCAAAUGUCUGUCCUUGGCAUUUGGAAAUUGUUAAGCAGUAACCCAAGCAAAUUAGAAAUUGUUGUUUGGACAUUUUGUAUUUGAUAGUAUUAGUGUGAUAUGUGGGAUAAAAACUCGUGUCCCUUUAAAUUGCCCCAUCACAAUUUCACAACCUAAAACAUUUGGUAGUGCAUUUUUCAGGAUGAGAUGUGUGCCGUUGCAUAGUCCUAUUGAUGGAAACAUAUUUCUUAGAUAAAAAUAACACCUUGUUUGAGAGAGAGUUUAUGUGGUGGGAGACUAGAAGGUGUGAUAGAAUUUAAAAAUUCUGUCGGAAAAUUUUCAGGAUGUUCAAUGUCAACAAAAUCAAUGCUUUUGUAGAUGUAUGUAUCACCUUGUAAUCUAGAGACAAUAGUGUUGUUGAUUGCAAAUGUAUCAUCAUUAAGUGGGGUAAGUAUGACUCAAUUGGCUGCAAUAUAACGGUUUGAAAUAUGAAGUACUGAAGGGUAGACAAAAUCAAUAAUUGAUGAAUAAAUUAGUUGUGUAUGAGGUAAUAAAAUGGAGUUAGAAGGUAAAGAUGGUAAAUUUUUAAAAUUUUUAUUAUUUCCAACUUUGAGAAGCCAUUCAGACCAUGAUUUAUCACUUUUAGCAAGCCGUAUAUUUGUUUUCAAAGAUAAUUUUCUAAAUAAUCUCCAUAAUUUAUUCAUUCUUACAGAACUUAAAACAAUUUAUGCCCUAUGUUCAUAUGGAAUGAUUGGAAGUGUUUGUUUAAAGUCCUCGUUAGUGACAACAAUUAUGCCACCAAAAGGUAAUGAUGUAUUUUUUAGGUCUCGCAACACUCAAUCAAUAGUAGUGAAUGCAUGAGUGUGAACCAUACUUAUUUCAUCCCAUAACAAUAUGUUAGUAGUUUUGAUUUUUAUACUUACUUCACUAUUAGCAGUUAUAGCGAAAGUUAAUGUUUCAUUUAUUGGAACAAAAAGUUUAAAAGUAAUAUGUGAAGUUCGGCCAUUAUAAAGUAAAGUACUUGCAAUUCCUAUCCAAACCAUGCUAACAACAUUUUUUUUUUCAGUUGUAAAAUAUUUAUAAGAGUAAAACAUGAAAUGUUUUACCAGUACCACCAGGGCAAAUGUAUCGAUUAUGCUCAGUUGGGUGAUCAAUAACAUUAAGAAUAUCAUUAAAAAUAUUUAACUGUUCUUGAUUAAAUCGAGGAAUAUUUUGUUCAACAUUUUGAUAUAUUUGUGUUGAGUUGACAAUAUUUUCAUCAUCAAGAUUUUGAGAUGGCAAAGGUAGAUGAUAGUUUCGAUUAGUUUUGCCAUGCAUUUCAUUUUAAUUAUUAUAUCAUGUAAAGCAUGUUUAUAAUGAAAAAUUGGAUUUGUUUGCAUGAAAUCCUUAGAGAGGAAGUUUUUAAAUUUAUCCCAUAAGAAGUAAAGAUCUUUUGGAGUGCAAAAGAUACAAAGUAAUACAAAUAAUUGUCUUAAUUGUUAUAGCAUUUUAAAAAAGCAAGCAUCUUCUAAACAUUUUUCCCAUUUAGUAUCAUCAAUUAUAAACCCCAUUGCAUCUGCAACUUGUUGAAAUGUGUCAUAAUAAAUAUUGUUAACUGUCUUGAGAUCUUUAAAAGACAUAGCACCUUUUUUAUGGAGUAAAAUAAAACAUAAAUGAUAUAAUUCAACAUUAGAUGGCGACAUAGAAUACAUUCGGGGAAUGACAUUUCUUGUAUGUCGAAUUUUCCAGUUAUGAGUAUGAGGGUUAAAUGUAUAAUAUAAAGGGAUUUCAGGAUAUGUAUAUUGUCUAGCAUUUGGGUCAUUUAUAUUUAAUUCAAACCAUUUUGUUAACAUCGUACUAUUUUGAGUAGCUCUUUGAAGUGCUAUUUGUUCAGAAUCUUCUAUAAAAUAGAUGUUUUGAAAAUUUGGAAGAUGGAUAGGAAGAAGGAUUAUAGGGGUCAAACGACCAUGCAUUUUAAAUUUAAAAAGUCUCCAUAUUGCCUCUAGAGUAGAUACAUAACGUGUAUUUAAAAAUGUUGAGAUUUCAUCAAUUUAAAAUAUUAUCAGGUUGUUGCGUUGUUGAAUGGAUUUCAAUUGUAGCAUAAUUAUAAUCUUUAUAAACAUAUUGAAAUAAAUAUUUAAUACUUUUUAUAGUAGCACAAGUUUCAAUAUUAAUAUGAGCAUUAUAUUUUUUACAAAGGUAUUUAUUAUAAGGCACUACCCAAUGAUUAUCAAUAUAACACCCAUUUUUUAGAAAUGUACGGCCAUUAUUAGGUCUAUAAUAAUCUGAAUAUCCAUCAACACUAAAAGUAGUUUCAUAAUUAAAUUUUUUUGGAUAACCUUUUGAGCAAGUGCCAUUUUCCAUGCAAAGACUAUUAGGGUAAAGACGCUCACAUGGACUAUAUAUCAUAUGAGAUGUAAUUAUUUUAGAAAUUUCAAGUUCAUUUUGAGGAUCAAACAAUUGUGCCGUUAUGUAUUGGUUAAUAGCAUAACGGUCUUUAAUCUUGUUUUCAUGAGAUAAAAUGUGGAAGGCCUCUUUUUUGAAAUUCAAUUACAUAUAUAAAAGCAAUACAAUUUCCAAAAAUAUGUUUUUUAGUAAUAUCAUUCAAAAAUUCUUUAAGUUUGAUAUAAAAUACUCUAGAAACCAAGUCUGGACGAUCCUUAGGGCUUUCAUUUGGAUGUAAGUUCUUAGAAAUUUCUGGCCAUUUGGGAUUACAUGUAAAAGUAAUGAAAAGAUCUGGCUUUGAAAAAUGAGUAACUAUAGCCAUUGCAUCUUGAUAAUUUUAUUGCAUUGCUCUAGGGCCACCCCCAAAACUUGAAGGUAAAAUAACAAUUUUGCUUGGAUUUAUAUUUUCAUUAGUAACACGGUUUGCAACAUAAUCCAUAAAACUAGUAUACAUUUCAACUCGCAAUUGUUUCUGAUGAGUGCGAUAGUAAUUCAAAUUAUUGCUUUCAACUUUUAUAUAAGCAUCGACAAUAUAUUGUUAUGUGAGUUUUCCUACAUGUAAAAUUUGAUCAAAACCAAAGUGUAUUGUGUCUCUUAUAGAUAAGCGGUAUGCAUAAUAUUGGAGUAAUGUAAUUCGACGUCUGGAAUUAAAAAUAUUUUUGUGCCAACUUCUGUCACCAAAAGGAAAUAUUAAUGGGUAAACCAUUGGAUCACAAUUAUAAUCAAGUGUUGAGAUACAUUUAGAAUUGCUUACAGUUGGAUAUAUACAAAUUUCAUGACUAUGUGUCGCGCAUGUGACUUUGGGUAUCGAAAAUUACCUGUCGACCAGUCCUUACGGACACUCUUACCUUACUGCCACGAUGGCAGGAGGUCGGUAUUGCUGGUUCCUUUUAUCAGCCCCUCUUGUUCAAGUGUUAGUUUACUGGGCUUAGCACCUGUACUUAACUAGAUGGACAUAAGGUAGGAACUCCUAUGUGUUUCUAGCUGAGCAUACUCGGCCUGGGUCUUAGUUCUCUUUUGCUCUGUCUUGCACUGGCUUGACAAGAACCCUCGUGUAUUGAGAUUGGUCCCUCAAUAUUGCCGGAUGAUAGCUUACCGUGUCUGCCAAACACCCUCACUAUCAUGCCCUUUGUGUUAGUCUCAAUUCGGUCCCAAAUGCUAUUUAUGGAAAGUGUCCAGAUUUACUUAUUUGGCAUAUCUACGGAAUGUAGAGAUUGUCUUGAACACAAUUGUGUUCGUCCCGUGUCCAAAUUUGCAAUCUAAGGACAUUCCAUAUUUAGUAAGUUUCAAAUUUGUCCCAAAGACUAACUCCUGAUACUAAGGGAGGCUUGGGGUGAAAGCCCAAAGCGUGUGUUCCUCAAGGGGGGGGGGCUGUAGGGGGUUCCAAAUGUCCAAAUGUAUAGUAGGGAUAGUGGGUAGGUCGGGCAUGGCCGACCAACUUGAGGCAUAGUCUAGCUCCCGCUUGCGUGCUUGUCCUUGUUCUGCGUCCGGCUUGGGUCUAAGCCCAAGUUCCAUUCCAUGCUAGUUGGUGGAAUACCCAUAUCCUCACGUUAGGCCACCGGUAUGCCGAAAUAGCGCCAGACUCCAUUUGGCUCCGUUUUGCGUGCUGGUCCUGGCAUUGGGAUGCUGGUUGCUCCAGGACUGUUCCAAGUCGCUCUGGGCUCCUGUCCCUUCACUCCUUGGGCUUUAUGCUCGGGAGUUGCUCCGUGGUUCGGUUCCGACACUCCUUGGCUCCAUGCUUGGGAGUUUGGCACCGUUCUAUCGUUCAGUGGCCCAAGGCCCUGAACCUCGGGUUCCUAUGGACACGUGGCAUGGACACGUGGUAUGUGACAUGUGGCAUCUGUCACAUGGCACAAAGAGGGUUUAGGUUCCGCAAGGUAAAUCACCAUAGGAUAAAGGGUCAAAACCACGUGCACUACAUUUGGCAUUAGAGGAUGAGUCUCAACGAGUACUAUUCAAUGAGAUUGGGCAACUAGUCUCGUUGCAUACACAGAGAUGAAAACGAUGAUCCGAGUGGGUACACGUUUGGUGUAAGGGGUUCACAUUCGUUCCUUGGGUAUGGUUUUGGUUACCUUUUAUACCUAAUAAUGUGAGCUUGCUCUUGGGCUCAUAGGAUGGAUUUGAGAUGCUCCGUUAGCACGAGUUUAUGCUUGGGCUCGUGAGUGAGGCACAUUAGCAACUCAAGGUUAUACUUUGAGUUGGCAGGAUUAAUGUUAGCCUAUCGGUGGUUCCAUGAGUUGUUCCAGUGGUUCUAUGAGUUGUUCCAUGUACCGUGGGUGAAAGCAAACCUCCUUGAGUUUGCUAUGAAUGGCAAAUAGGCUAGUCCGUAGCUAUUUAGCACGGCACUAAUAGAUCUUUCCUAGGCAUGAUUACAAGUGAAUCAACCAAGAUUGUAGGGAAGUCUAUUGGUUCAAGUAAUCAUUGUCGUGCUCUCUCAUAAACUUUUCUUGGAUUGGACUGAAAGCAGUGCGAAAGCAAGCUUGAGGUUUAGUCAAAGAUGAGACCGAAAAGAGAGUCGUCGGGGACGAAGGAUCAAACACGUAAAUCAUUUUCUUUUUUUGAGGAAAUGAUUCGUAAUGAGGUGUUAACUCAUUGCUCGUGUUCACAUUAUGCAAUCAAGAGUCAUUACCUUAAUGCAUCUUGGAGAUGAUAAUCUUACAAAUGGUGAGUUAUGGGAUGGAUAGCAGUGAAGCGCUAUACCAUUUUGUCUAGGCUUGCUAUUGGAAGAUUUGGGUUGCAAUGCUCAAUUCUUUUCCAGGGAACCUUGCUAUUGCUCCUUGAGUAGCUUGGUGUUGGGUUAAGUUUUGAGUUUGGUCGAAAAGCGAGUAGCAUGAGCUUGUCCGUGUUGUGAACAAAAAUUGGUGGUGUUCAGUGUUGUAAAUCUCUAUUGGUGGAGUGUGGCAUUUAUGUUGCAUUUUGUCGAAUUGAGUUGGCACUUGAUGCUCACAUAAACCUUUGAAGUAAUGACAUGGGUGUUGCUCAUGGUGUUGCUUAAUUGAUGAUCAAAUCAUUGUAAUUUUGUAUCAUAUCCAUGUGAUAAUGAGCAAUGUGUUUACGAAGUUGCUUGGUUAAAUGAUGAUCAACCCCAAAGUGGUUGAUGGUGAAGCUAAUCUACUUGCACGGAGUAGCAUUGUAGUAGCUUUGAUUGGAUUCUCGAUAGUGGUCCAUUAUGCUAAGCUUAAGUUGGUUCCUUAGUUCCUUGAGUUUGCCCAUUGAGGUGUUGGAAAGGGUUCUAGCAUCCAUUUGCUAUAGCUCAUUAGUUGAUCCGUUAACACUUGGAAUAGAUUGUUGGAUAGAGAAGGUGUAAGGUUGAGGCAAUGACAUUACUAACACUUGUGUUAGUGGAAGUGGCAUUGUUAUUUUAAGUGAUGAGGAAGUUUCCUUAAAGCUUGAUUUUCCAUGUCAUUUUUCUUAUUAGUGUUUUAGUUUCACAUUAGAUCUUGAAGGUGGUUGAAAAAAAGUGUUGGUGCAAUGUGGAUAUCUGAAGAUGUGGUCUUCGUGAUCAAGCAUUGGAUAUUCCAUUUGCAUUUUUACGGAUAUCGGUGUUGGAUGACAAAAGAAUGGGCAAAAAGAUGUUCAAGGCUUAAGCAUACUAUGGGUCAUGAGAAUUUAUGUUGAGGUGAACCUAUGUGAAGUUGUUAGUAGGAGGAAGUUGGUUGAGUUUUGAAAGUUUGUAUUCCUAGACUAGGAGUCAUUCUUUCUCUGGGAUGGAAAGAUUUUCCACAAAUUUUCUUAGACUUUUCCAAUGGCUGAUUUGUUAUCACUUUGCUCGAAAACCAUUCCGUUUUCGAAAGCUAAUACAAACUAGUGAAGGGGUUGGAGUUGACUUCGGUUAGCUUAGACCUUAAUAUGUAGUUUGUAUGAUGCAGACCGAAAGGGAUGCUAACUUUUGGGGCUAAGGCAAUUGAGUUGAAUAGAGUCUGGAGUUGGUGUAAAAAAGUGGCCAUUGCACUUUUCUAAGAAGGGUGACCCUUGUGCCUUUCUUUUGUAGCGUUAUGCUUGGUGGCAAGUUGCACCUUGCAGUUUGUUAGACUCUAUGAGAGUAGUGAGCUCUCAUUGAUCUUGACUUGGACUUGUGUGAGACACAAAAUCCCUAGGCCCCAAAGUGGAGCCAGAAGGGCGCCACAUGGUAGUGGCCGAAGUGAGAGCCAAAUGAGUGUAACGCGUUUGGACCAAAAGCUCCGACUUGAAAAGUCAAGAGCGGGAGUGGAACUCCCAACGAAGUGCUCGAGGAACAAGCACGAAGCGAGCAAAAGGCGAGGCUCCAAAAAGGGACCCAAAAGGACCAACACAUGACACGUGGGAGUGUCCGAGAUGGACCCGAGUUGGAGUCCAAAGUGGAGUCCGAGAUGGACCCGAGUUGGAGUCCGAAGUGGAGUCUAAGAUGGACCCGAGUUGGAGUCCGAAGUGGAGUCCGAGAUGGACCCGAGAUGGAGUCCGAGGUGGACCCGAGAUGGACCCGAAAUGGAGUCCGAGAUGGAGUCCGAGAUGGACCCGAGAUGGAGUCCGAGAUGGAGUCUGAGAUGGAGUCCGAGAUGGAGUCCGAGAUGGAGUCCGAGAUGGAGUCUGAAGUCGAGACCGAGACCGGGACCGAGACCGGGACCGAGACCGAGACCGAGACCGAGACCGAGACCGAGACCGCGAUCGGGACCGAGGCCGAGGCCGAGACCGAGCCCGAGCCCGAGUCCGAGUCCGAAUCCGAGUCCGAGUCUGAGUCCGAGUCCGAGUCCGAGUCCAGAGCCUGAGAGGGUGAAAGCCCAAAGCGUUCGUCUCCCAGACCCUGGGGGGUUUGGUGAGCUCCAAAAGUAUAGUAGGGGGAGGACUGCAGUGGAGCCAGUUUGGCCAGGAAAGGCCAGUUUGGCCCAGGAAGGCCGGACCCAGUGUUGGGUGAUGAGCUGCCCACUGGGAAGUCCAAGACUAGAGUGAACACGGACCGACAAGCGGGGUAGCUUGGUGAAGUGUUCAAGAACCGGCUCUAGUUCCCCCGGGAGAUCGACUGGCCGAUGCUCCCAGUCCAAGUGUGGGUGGCACUACCUACUUGGAUACCUGGUGUGGCUCAACGGAACCCGCUCUAAGCCCAUGGCUAGAGCACCCAAGGGCAGAAGGCGAGGAGAGUACCCAGGUGGCUCGCGUAAGGCCACGGUGUUCCGAAAUGUUGUCCCAAAGGCCCAGACUGUGGAAAGGAAGAGGAGCAGUCCUCUGGGGUAGUGACCAAGGACACAGUCAUGUGGUGAGGAAGUCCCAGAGGACCGUGGGACUUAGUGGUCGGGCUUGUGGGUCUCGAUCCAGUGGCAGUGUUGGCAAACACUUCCAGGGGCAGAAAGGGACUUAGUGGGGACUGACAGAGGGAUAUUGGGGAAGGCUAUUCCCCUUGUCGGUGGGCAUCCUAAGGAUGCUAAGGAGUGGAUCUGAGAUGACCACUCACGGAUGGUUUGCCUAGUCUUGGAGAGCCAAGACGGUGAUGCAAGUGGUAUUGGACUACCAGUGUGGCAAAGGUGAUUGGGCAUGGCCUUAGCGUAACGGGCUGCUAUGUCGGUGGUACCUUUGAGUGUCGGUCAUGGGAUCGGACACGUGGAGCACUUGGACCAAGUGCAAAUGUUGAGUGGCAUGGAUGCUAUUCUCGGGGCUAGCAAGUCCCAAGUCCUGGAUUGGACUUAUGGAGGUUGUGAAUGAGACUCCUCCAAGUGGUCAGAGGUGUGGUUAAGUGACUAAAGUAGAAUGGAAAAUUUAGUCUCUUACAACUUGGUGGCUCUGCAACUUGGCUGAGGAUAGUGAUGUCCAACUUAGUUGUUUGUAGUUGAGAUGUUGGUACCUAUACUAUAGCUUUGUUUAAGUGGAGGUUGUGUACCGAUAUGAGUCCAUCUCGUAGUCUUCACUUUAGUUUCGACUAAGUGUUGAUUACGCAUAGUUAGCCUCUUCAAGGCAUGCUCAGAGCCGUUGGCUAAAUGUAUUGGUGAGCUUAUUGUGGUUGAGUUGGAUUUGAGUGGUCAUUUGGUUUGUGCUUGUCUAUGAACUUUUAUCUCAUACCGGAGGUAACACGUUUAUGUUGGACAAGUGUAUGACUCGAUGACGUGAGUUUAGUGUUUGGGUCUCGUGAAAGCAAGUUGAAAAAGUGAUGGUUAGUUGCUUUGCAACUAAUGAUUGCUUGUAGACUUUGUCAAGGACUGUUGACACUUUCUUCGCUCGAUGAUAAUUUAGCAGUGAUAGGCUUGCUUUACCGAAUGGUGUUGCGGAGGAACGUGUCGUUAAACUUCCAUGGGUAUUCCAUGUUGGCAUGUCGACUCUACCUCUGUUGAUAUCAUUUGGUUGCGUUUAGUUCAUAGUGUUGGAUUUCAUGGAGUCUUGGACGUGGUGAUUCAUUCCUUGAGGAAGUGUUAUCUGUACCUGAGUAUUGUUGAGAGAUUGGUCUCGGAUACUAAGUAAAGUAUCUCCGACUUUGGUUAGCUUGGUUGCUAGAAAGUUUUGAGUGGUGAUUCACUCUUGCUUUCUACUAGCUUUGUUCUGUUGUUGAUGGCAUUGAAGUGAUGCCUUAUCGUUGACAUUAUUGAGGUUGAGAUUUUAGUGAAAUGGGAUGUCUCUCCACAAGAUUGAUAUCGAGUUUCAUUAGUUUUGAUGGAAAUAGUGUUCAUGAUUUGGCUAUGACUUUGUGUUAUUGGCAUUCGUGCAUUUGCUAGUUAGCAACUGUCAUGAUGUUCACAUGAACUGAGUGGCAAGUUUGAGUUAGUUGUGUUCUAGAUGAGAUUGUUUAGUAAGGGUUAAGCUUUGGCUUUUCCUUGAAAAGUGGUUCAGUCAAGGACUAUGCUAACUCUACAAGUGGAAGAGUUAGUGAUUGAUAUUGGAAUAUUUGAAUCCUUAUGGGAUUUUAGUUGAAAUAUAUUGAUCAUUGAUAAUUCUUCUUGUGUUUGUUAUGAAGUGAGUUACGUCUUGCUAUAGAUGGAUUCAUGGAGGAUCGUUUGGUGAUCACUUGUUGAGCAUAGCUUCGUUGUGCUUAGCUUUUGGAUUGAUGCAGAUAUGCUCUUCAUUAGCUUUGGCAUUAUGAAGUUUAGCUUAUGGAUGUGUUGAGGAAGAUAUUGUGGAUUGCACUAUGAUUUCUUCAAUAACAUUGAAGUUAGUUCAUGCAAAACUUGUGAUCAUUAUUAGGCAAGACUUGGCUAUAAGUUUCUUCGAGCUUUUGGUUCCUUGAGGUUUUAUGCUUGUGGUCCAUUUGUUAGAAGUUGUUGGGGAAAGCAUUUUUGUCUCAUUAGCUUCGAUGUUGAAGUUGGCUUUUGCAUUUAGCAAUCAUUGGUUAUAAUUGACUAUCAUUUAGAAUAGUUCAUUGUCAUUGUCAAAGGUUUUACUUGAUUAUUAUUGGUAUAGAAUGAUUUACCGUUCUUCGGGAUGGUAAAUUGUUUCUUCGACAAUGAUAAUGCAUCUCCUUAUUGAUAAAAUGAUUGAUGAUCUUUCAUGGUGGUUAUUUGUUCUCUUUGAUGGCUUAUGGCUUUUCGCAAUAUCACAUGUUCUUUGUGAUUUGCUCUGGAUUGGUCUUUUGGGUUUGAGACAUCAGUAGGAUAUUACUAACACUUGCUUAGGCAACUUGAGUUCCUUUGUAUUGUUGGCUGGGAUCUAUUCAGAUUGGCUUUUGUGAUAGUUGGCAGGAAUGAAUGUUGUUGGUCUUACCACAUUUAUUCUCUUCUGUUGAUUGUUGCUCGAGUUAGUUUUGAUAGAUUUGGAUGUUAUUUCCUUUGGGUGAUACAUUCGCGAGCAUUGUGCUUGUUAGUCAAUGAUACUUUGUGUUCUUUGAGUUCUCUCUAGUAAGUUGUUAACUUACUGUCUACUAUCUUCGGUAGUUAAGUUUCAUCAUUGAGUUUCCUUGAUGAUAUACUAGCUAUGGAUGGUCAUUCCUGUGUUUGCCAAAUUAUGAUGAUCUUGGUGGUUCCUGCACUAUUAUACUGAUUUAUCAAAUGAUAACUUUCUUGGAAUACUUUUGUGUUCUAAUCUAAGAUAUAUUCACUGAUAGUUAAGUCUCUAAGAUAUCAUUGUUUAUGACUUUGAUAUUGUCCAUCUAUUGAUCUUUGAGUUUGGGCCAAUAUAGGCAGACUGGCUUCGGCACUUCGUGUGCAUGGUGAAAUCUCUAGUCAUGGGGUAGCUACUAUCGACUGGUCACAUAACCCGCCUCUCUGUCGAUGUUCCUUAUUCCGUUAAAAGGGCGUGACCGUGUAAACAACUCUAACUGCCUGUUUACAGUAGUCUAUCUAAACCUUACCGACGGGUUUGGUUUCUUUGCUCAUGAGGGUUGGGGCCUCUGGCUUCUCUCUCUAUGUCUCUGCGGGCAGGGCAUAUCACACUUUUGUAAGCUGGGUGACUCCCAGAGCACCAAGGGUGGCUGACUCCGUUAGUCAUUUCUUUGUCGGCGACGGCCGGAAGGUGUCUGAGUUGGUAGCGCAUCCGCGUUAGACAAAGAGGUUACCCCUAACUCAUUUAAGUUGGUGCAUUUCUCACAUAGUGUGAGUACUGUGAACUUUUUCUUGAGUUGUUUCCUUGGCGGUAUUCUAGAGUUGAGUAUGCAUCGACGAGGACGUCGAUCUUCCCUAGGGGGGGAGAGUGUCACGCAUGUGACUUCGGGUAUCGAAAAUUACUUGUCAACCAGUCCUUGCAGACACUUUUACCUUACUGCCACGAUGGCAGGAGGUCGGUAUUGCUGGUUCCUUUUAUCAGCCCCUCUUGUUCAAGUGUUAGUUUACUGGGCUUAGCACCUGUACUUAGCCAGAUGGACAUAAGGUAGGAACUCCUAUGUGUUUCUAGCUGAGCAUACUCGGCCUAGCUCUUAGUUCUCUUUUGCUCUGUCUUGCACUGGCUUGACAAGAACCCUCGCGUAUUGAGAUUGGUCCCUCAAUAUCGCCGGAUGAUAGCUUACCAUGUUUGCCAAACACCCUCGCUAUCAUGCCCUUUGUGUUAAUCUCAAUUCAGUCCCAAAUGCUAUUUAUGGAAAGUGUCCAGAUUUGCUCAUUUGGCAUAUCUACGGAAUGUAGAGAUUGUCCUGAACACAAUGGUGUUCGUCCCGUGUCCAAAUUUGCAAUCUAAGGACAUUCCAUAUUUAGUAAGUUUCAAAUUUGUCCCAAAGACUAACUCCUGAUACUAAGGGAGGCUUGGGGUGAAAGCCCAAAACUUGUGUUCCUCAAGGGGAGGGGGGGGAUGUGGGGGGUUCCAAAUGUAUAGUAGGGAUAGUGGGUAGGUCGGGUAUGGCCGACCAACCUAAGGCAUAGUCUAGCUCCCGCUUGCGUGCCUAUCCUUGUUCUGCGUCCGGCUUGGGUCUAAGCCCAAGUUCCAUUCCAUGCUAGUUGGUGGAGUACCCAUAUCCUCACGUUAGGCCACCGGUAUGCCGAAAUAGCGCCAGACUCCAUUUGGCUCCGUUUUGCGUGCUGGUCCUGGCAUUGGGAUGCUGGUUGCUCCAAGACUGUUCCAAGUCGCUCCGGGCUCCUGUCCCUUCGCUCCUUGGGCUUUAUGCUCGGGAGUUGCUCCGUGGUUUGGUUCCGACACUCCUUGGCUCCAUGCUUGGGAGUUUGGCACCGUUCUAUCAUUCAGUGGCCCAAGGCCCUGAACCUCGGGUUCCUAUGGACACGUGGCAUGUGACACGUGGCAUCUGUCACGUGGCACAAAGAGGGUUUAGGUUCCGCUUCGUGGUGUUAUCCUAUGGUAAAUCACCAUAGGAUAAAGGGUCAAAACCACAUGCGCUACACUAUGUGGCAGUUUUCCAUCAUCACUAACAAACACAACAGCAACAUCAUUUGUCUCUGGAGCAUUAUAGUGUCGUGGAUCAGUUUCUUUAGUUUUUAAUAACAUAUAAAUACCACGUAUAGGAUAACCUGAAAGUGUAGCAGAACAAAUUUUUUCUUGUUCCAUUUUAUACAUCAUUUUGAAAGCUUGAGCAUAUGGGUUAACAUGACGAAGGAGAGCAUCACAAUGUUUAAAUAAGUUUAUCUCACAGCUUGAAUUAAAAGGGUUUUGCUUUCUGAUAUUUGUAGCUUCUAGAGUAUCAAGCAUAUAAAGUUGUCCAUAAGUUCGAUAUUGACCUUCAGAAGGAUGUGCUGAAACAAUAUUAUGAUAUAUUUGACCAUGGAUUUUAAAGCAAUAAGGACCAUGACCUUUUACAAUAUCAAUAUUAGAAGACAUAGAUACAAAAGCAAGAGCACUAUUGUAGUGUUUAAUAUUUGUUUUAAAAUUAGAGUUCUUAUUUUGCUUGUAAAGUGAAAGUAAAUCAAAUGGUAAAGGUGAAAUUGGAGGUAAUAUAACUUGGUUAUUCUAGCAACACAUUGAAGAGUUUUCAUCUUUAAAAUACAAUGCAUUAGAAAAAAGUACAAACAAAUGUUAAACUACCAAUAUUGUUAAAGUCAUUAUAAAUGCUAUGGCUUGCUAGUGUGGUAUUCAUAGGUGGGUGUGGUGGAUUUAAUAUUGCUUGAUAUAUGUAAUUGUCAUAAUUACAUAGGUUCCAGAUGCUUCUGAGUGUCCAACUGAUUGCUAUAUAUAAUCAUUAUCAUGAUUAAUAUUUUGGUGUAUAGAAUCAUUAUCAUGAUUAUUUUGAACAACUAUAGUAUGUGUAUCAUAAUCAAUCAUAGUUUCAGAGGCAUCUAAAUCUCCAUUAGAUUGUUUACUAUGUCGUAUGGUUCUCAAAAGAUGGUGGAGGCAAGGCAUUUUCAGUCACUUUGAUUAUAUUUUUGAUUAUAUAUAUAUUUUUUUAAUUGAGUUUGUAUAAAAGUUUAUGCAGAAUAGAAAUGCAGACUACAGUUGGAUAUAUAUAAAUUUCACAACUAUGUAAUGAUCUGAAAGGAAAAUAUUAGACUUUUGCGAAGCACACUCAAGAACAACAAAAUAACUCCAAUAUUGUGUUUACCAAUCUCUACCUCAUAACCCACAGCUUUGCAAUUUUGAGCUGCAGCCACAAGUGCUGCUCCUAUGCCAGCAUCAGGUUACCUGGCACAGCAUCCCAGCACAGCAUCGUUGAGACCGGCCCUCAAACUCUUGGAAACUGGAACUAAAUUUUAGAUUCGACAGAAGCAGUAUCGGACAGAAAAAAAAUCUCAUCAUAGAAUACAAAGAUAUUCAAACUUACAACUUACCUCGAUCUAAAAACGAAGCUAAACCAGGUGAUGCUUGCGGUGGCACUUGCUACUUCUCCUUCUCUUUCAAGGAAAAGGAUUUCCAAAACUUUAGGAGCAGUGCUAGCUGGCGCAGCCACUCAACAGCCCUACGUCAACUUGAAACACCUGGUUCCUACAAACGGAGUUGAUCCCGAGCAUGUGCUGAAAUAAAAAUCCCUCACAGGCCCAGCAGCAAGGAUUCCUCGAGAGAAUCCAGGGAUGAAGAGGGAGUGUCCUUGAUAAUUGCUUUCCUGUAGGCCAAAGAGCUCAUGAGGUAGUGGCGAAUAAGGAUCAAAGCUUUGCUGACUUGGAAAUGAGCCAAUUUGCCUCUCACAGUCCUGAGUUGAUCCUGAGAAGAGCCUGGAUUGUGUGCCCGACUACCAUUCUACUCGCCCCUGCUACUUACCAGGCACAGGCUCUCACGAAAAAUGCCCACACAACCGUGUCUGACCAGAGCAGCCAUGGAGCCCUAGGAGUGCAUGGCAUAACACUUGUCACCAUGCCCUCUUCCCUUCCCGGCCACACGUGCAUCCCGCCCAUUGGCCACCACAACAUUGAGCCGAUAUUCCCGCUAACCAUGGCCACCGGCCCUGGCCCGAGCCUGGGCUGGCCUCCCCUUGCCGAGAACCAUGGCUUCCGAGGCUGCCCCGGGCCUGGGAUUGGACGGCUGCAGGGGUGUGGGUUCUUCGUUCUUAUUGUAAGAUAUAGUUUUUGAUGAAAAGUUUUUAAAGCGCUGAUUUUAGGGUUCUUGAGCUAUGGAGCGACGAUGCUUCACAGGCGCUGGACUUCUUCCGGGUACAGCGCAUCGCGCGAUUUUCUCUUUCGCGAGCUUGGAAAUGUCAAUCCAGGGGCGUUUGUGGCAGAUUUUGGACACGCAAUGGCUCCUGGCACUGAGGAAUUUGUCAAUGGAGGAUCUUCUUCUCCUUCCAUCGCAUAUGAGAGUCCCUUCGGUCCUUUGUUUCUCGUGCAUUGACGGCGGGGAUGGAAGGCCUUAGGAUUGCUGGCCCAAGACGCUCCAGGAUUUGCUCUCUCGAGAGGUGAAGGAGACCUCAAAGGUAAUUCUUUUCGCAAAACCUUGUCAUUGACAAUGUUUCUUAGCUUCUCUCAGGAAGUGUUUUAACGCAUGGCGUGAACGCCAGGAAACCAUGAGGUAUGCAUCUCCUUCAAUCCAUCGAUCGUUUUUGAGAAAACUCGCGUUUAGAUUCUUUCCAGAUUGAAGGACUUUCUUCGUUGGUGGUAAACGCGUCGAACGAUACUAGCCAUUCUUGUCAACCGUUUCAAAGCAUCGUGCCACACAAAACCGCAACCUUUCUCGGCGACGAGGACGUGUAGCUGGAUGCAUUCUUGUCGUCCAUUAGAAUUCGCGAGCAACGUAAGCCAUGACUGCAUGCCUGUGGAGAUCUCUUGGCGAACAUGUUGAGGUGAG